CUCAAAAAGACCGUCCCAGUUCGGAUCGCAGGCUGCAACCCGCCUGCGUGAAGUUGGAAUCGCUAGUAAUCGCGGAUCAGCAUGCCGCGGUGAAUACGUUCCCGGGCCUUGUACACACCGCCCGUCACACCAUGAGAGUCGGGAACACCCGAAGUCCGUAGCCUAACCGCAAGGGGGGCGCGGCCGAAGGUGGGUUCGAUAAUUGGGGUGAAGUCGUAACAAGGUACC
RNAcentral lists this ribosomal RNA (228 nucleotides) under uncultured bacterium. Its description in RNAcentral is "partial 16S ribosomal RNA". It matches the Rfam family "Bacterial small subunit ribosomal RNA", at positions 1273 to 1500 of the family's 1533-position model. The record is from RNAcentral.